CCUACGGGUGGCAGCAGUGGGGAAUAUUGGACAAUGGGCGAAAGCCUGAUCCAGCCAUGCCGCGUGUGUGAAGAAGGCCUUCGGGUUGUAAAGCACUUUCAGUGGGGAAGAAAGCCUUGGGGCUAAUACCCUCGAGGAAGGACAUCACCCACAGAAGAAGCACCGGCUAACUCCGUGCCAGCAGCCGCGGUAAUACGGAGGGUGCGAGCGUUAAUCGGAAUUACUGGGCAUAAAGCGCGCGUAGGCGGUCUGAUAAGCCGGGUGUGAAAGCCCCGGGCUCAACCUGGGAACGGCAUCCGGAACUGUCAGGCUAGAGUGCAGGAGAGGAAGGUAGAAUUCCCGGUGUAGCGGUGAAAUGCGUAGAGAUCGGGAGGAAUACCAGUGGCGAAGGCGGCCUUCUGGACUGACACUGACGCUGAGGUGCGAAAGCGUGGGUAGCAAACAGGAUUAGAUACCCCAGUAGUC
Molecule: ribosomal RNA, 465 nt
Filed under: Vreelandella stevensii
Lineage: Bacteria; Pseudomonadati; Pseudomonadota; Gammaproteobacteria; Oceanospirillales; Halomonadaceae
Description: partial 16S ribosomal RNA
Rfam family: Bacterial small subunit ribosomal RNA
Source: RNAcentral